UACAGAGGGUGCUAGCGUUGUUCGGAAUCAUUGGGCGUAAAGGGCGUGUAGGCGGUUUGUUAAGUCAUGUGUGAAAUCCCUCGGCUCAACCGGGGAACGACGCAUGAAACUGGCAAGCUAGAGUACCAAAGAGGGGGGUGGAAUUCCCGGUGUAGCGGCGAAAUGCGUAGAUAUCGGGAGGAACACCCGUGGCGAAAGCGGCUCUCUGGAACGGUACUGACGCUGAGACGCGAAAGCGUGGGGAGCGAACAGG
RNAcentral lists this ribosomal RNA (253 nucleotides) under uncultured bacterium. Its description in RNAcentral is "partial 16S ribosomal RNA". It matches the Rfam family "Bacterial small subunit ribosomal RNA", at positions 524 to 776 of the family's 1533-position model. The record is from RNAcentral.